RNAcentral lists this ribosomal RNA (119 nucleotides) under Pteropus alecto (black flying fox). Lineage: Eukaryota; Metazoa; Chordata; Mammalia; Chiroptera; Pteropodidae. The record is from RNAcentral.
GUCUACGGCCGUGCCACCCUGAACAAGCCCAAUCCCUGCUGAUCUCAGAAGCUAAGCAGGGUCGGGCCUGGUUAGUACUUGGAUGGGAGGCCACCUAGGAAGAGUAGGUGCUAUAGGCA